ACCGACCUCUGUAAUAUUUAAAAGUUCUAUUUUUAUUUUGUCUAGCGAAUAAUUAAACCUACUAAUUCAUUUGACGGCUUUUAUAAUCUUCAAAGUUGCAGAUUUGGACUUUGUUAAUGUUCAAAGGGUGUUGGAGUAGAUGAUUUCUUUGCUCAAGCCUAGAUUUUUUGCUGUGUAUUAUUCUUAAUUAUGUGCACCAUAUAUUAUGCCUGUGGUUCUUAUUGUAUGCAUCAAAAAAGAGAAAGUGGAUUUGUCAUAGCGGUUUCUAUCAUGCUUUUGCAACUCAAUGUUUCUUUUUUUUUUAUGAUUUCAUUUCUUAUAUUUCCAUGUUUUAUUAAAUGUGUGGGUACUUGCAUGUACAAUGUUCUAAAAGGUGGCCCUAGUAUAGGGGUUAUUAGGUACCACAUAGUGCAUGAGAGAUAUGUGGUGCAUAUGCAGGCUCAUAUGCUAUUAGAUAUUGUAAUAUAAAAAAAUAUAAUCUAGUAUCAGCCAAGAACAUAUGGAAUAUUCAAUCAUGUUGUGAUGCACGACCAUGCAUUAUGCUAUUUAAGUAAUGUUGUAUUAGAAAUGAUACAAAUAAGCAUAAACGACAUGAUUAUUAGAUAUCCAUGAUUAUGGAGAAUGCAUUUGUGGUUGCAUGGGCAUCUACAUAUGCAGCUGCACCAACCAACAUAUAUGCAGAACCAUUCUUUUUGAACUUUGUAUCCUACUGUUAUGAAUGAGUAGGUGAUACAAAAUGGUAUGCAUAUACUCAAGUUGCAUUUCUCACAUGUUGGGCAUCUGUGCCAUUGAACUACUGUUAUGAAUGAGUAGGUGAUACAAAAUGGUAUGCAUAUGCUCACGUUGCAUGUUUCACAUGUUGGGCAUCUGUGCCACUGAAGUUGUGAAGUGCGUGUUGUUAAUUUGAAGCUUUUGAAACAUCGAGGACAAAUGAGGAUCAACUAUCAGUCCAAGCAUUUGGAAUGAACACUAUAGCUUCUAAAGCAUCUUUUAGUUGUCUUCUUUACAACAGGAAAUCUUGGUCCUAGGUCUUGCAUUUGGUGAUUUUCAGUUGUAAAUCAUCCUUUAUUGUACUGUUUCAAUGGUGUAUCAUGUUUGACUGCUUGACUAGUACAACAACAAUAACAAUGUGUUUCAAUUAUUUUUGACUGGUUGACUUGUUAAAUAUUCUGUUACAUAUUUUAAAUUACCAUCUAAUGAAGCAGAUGCCCCUGAAUUGUUCAUUGGUGAGAUAUAGGGAUUUGAAUGUUUUCAUUCUGUAAUCUGGGAUUCUAUGGGAUAUCCAUGUUAUUAGGAUUCAAUGAAAGUGAGACCAAAAACUACUGCAGGAUCCUACAUUUUACCUCAAAUAUGGUUUAGUUCUUUGAUGGUUCCCUUACCACCAACAGUUGUCUUAAAGGCUUAAACUAUUCUUUUUCACACCAUAUUUGCUCCAGUAUUAUCACCAACAAUACAUUUUGAGCAGAGUUGAUAACAUCUUGUUAUGGUGUGCAAUUUUGAUUAAAGAUUCAUCCUUCCUGCUUGACACACAAACACACACACACACACAACCUACAGUUGUGUGCAAUUAUGGUUUAGUUCUUUGAUGGUUCCCUUACCACCAACAGUUGUCUUAAAGGCUUAAACUAUUCUUUUUCACACCAUAUUUGCUCCAGUAUUAUCACCAACAAUACAUUUUGAGCAGAGUUGAUAACAUCUUGUUAUGGUGUGCAAUUUUGAUUAAAGAUUCAUCCUUCCUGCUUGACACACAAACACACACACACACACAACCUACACAUUUGCUUAAACUACAUUAAUACUGACCACCUAACAAUCUUCUUUACAGCCAUUGCAACUGUAGUCACCAUUGCAGAGAUUCUCAAAAAUAAUGGUCUUGCUGUUGAGAAGAGUAAGAUACAAUACAUUUUUGUCUUACCUUUUGGAUUAUAUAUUUCAUAAAGCUACCAAUGAGUUGGACACUAAUUGCUCUGUGAUGAA
This 1977-nucleotide long non-coding RNA is filed under the name Musa acuminata (dwarf banana). RNAcentral's name for it is "long non-coding RNA (MACU_LNC003049)". The record is from RNAcentral. Lineage: Eukaryota; Viridiplantae; Streptophyta; Magnoliopsida; Zingiberales; Musaceae.